AAAUUAAAAGCUAAACUCAUUGUGAAGUGAGGACAGAAAGCCAUGGGUCUUAUAAAGAUUGCCAGGCUGCAAACA
RNAcentral lists this non-coding RNA (75 nucleotides) under Sulfurovum sp. AR. RNAcentral's name for it is "c-di-GMP-I-GGC riboswitch aptamer". It matches the Rfam family "c-di-GMP-I-GGC riboswitch aptamer". RNAcentral also lists the same sequence under 1 other name. The record is from Rfam by way of RNAcentral. Lineage: Bacteria; Pseudomonadati; Campylobacterota; Epsilonproteobacteria; Campylobacterales; Sulfurovaceae.